This 89-nucleotide transfer RNA is filed under the name Mesoaciditoga lauensis. Its description in RNAcentral is "tRNA-Leu". It matches the Rfam family "tRNA". From Rfam's summary of the family: Transfer RNA (tRNA) molecules are approximately 80 nucleotides in length. Their secondary structure includes four short double-helical elements and three loops (D, anti-codon, and T loops). The record is from RNAcentral. Lineage: Bacteria; Thermotogati; Thermotogota; Thermotogae; Mesoaciditogales; Mesoaciditogaceae.
GCCGAGGUGGCGGAAUUGGCAGACGCAACGGACUUAAAAUCCGUCGAAGGGAUGCCUUCGUGUCGGUUCGAGUCCGAUCCUCGGCACCA